CAGGAAUCACUCCUGGUGGUGCUGAGGGGACAAUAUGGGAUGUCAGAAGUUGAACCAGGGUAUGCUGCAUGCAAGUAUAGAGCUAGACUGUCCUUCCAUAGCACCCGACAGCUGGAUGAAAAGUCAAAAACUAAGCUGAUCUGCCAGAUGGUUUGUGCACUCUAAAUCUAACAUCUGGAUAUUUUUUAAACAUUUAGAUGAUUGGAUGGAUGUAAUGGUGUCAUUUUAUCUCCACCCAGGAACUUGUGUCAACAGCUCCCUCCACGGACCAUUCACUAGAGUUGCAAUGUCACAGUGUCAGAAUCUUGUCAGAGAGGAAACCUUUGACAAAGCUGACUAGAGUGUCCUCAGCACUGGACUCAUGGCAGAUGCCAACAAGGUCAUGGUGAUUUUGAAGCUAGGAGGAUCUUUGCAACUUGUAUGAAUGU
Long non-coding RNA from Sorex fumeus (smoky shrew), 428 nucleotides. RefSeq lists it as uncharacterized. The record is from RefSeq and is a predicted model, not a curated record. The transcript has 4 exons. Lineage: Eukaryota; Metazoa; Chordata; Mammalia; Eulipotyphla; Soricidae.